Molecule: ribosomal RNA, 408 nt
Filed under: uncultured bacterium
Lineage: Bacteria
Description: bacterial SSU rRNA
Rfam family: Bacterial small subunit ribosomal RNA
Source: RNAcentral
AGCGAACGUUAGCGGCAGGCUUAACACAUGCAAGUCGAGCGAGAAAGGGGCUUCGGCCCUGAGUAAAGCGGCGGACGGGUGCGUAACACGUGGAUAAUCUGCCCUUCAGUGGGGAAGUAACGUUCCGAAAGGAAACGCUAAUGCCGCAUGUCACAGCAAUGUCUCUGGACAAAGUUGGAAAAGGGGACGCCCGCAAGGGGUUCGUCGCUGGAGGAUGAGUCCGCGGCCCAUCAGCUUGUUGGCGGGGUAAUGGCCCACCAAGGCGAAGACGGGUAGCUGGUCUGAGAGGAUGACCAGCCACACUGGGGACUGAGACACGGCCCAGACUCCUACGGGAGGCAGCAGUGGGGAAUAUUGGACAAUGGGCGAAAGACCUGAUCCAGCCAUGCCGCGUGAGUGAUGAAGGUC